Molecule: long non-coding RNA, 671 nt
Filed under: Junco hyemalis (dark-eyed junco)
Lineage: Eukaryota; Metazoa; Chordata; Aves; Passeriformes; Passerellidae
Description: lncRNA (ENSJHYG00000011933.1)
Source: RNAcentral
CGGCCAGGUAGGCCAGGCGCGGGCCUCCCCGCACGCCGGGCGGCAGCCGCCCCGUGCCGUAGCCGUGCCAGGCCACCACGUACGGGUUGUCCAUGGUCAGCCAGUAGCGCACCUGCCCGCCGAAGUGCCGGAAGCACAGCUCGGCGUAGUCGCGGAAGAGCCCGGGCAGGACGGGGCUGGCCCAGCCGCCGAAGGCGUGCUGCAGGGCCUGCGGCAGGUCCCAGUGGUAGAGGGUGACCACGGGCUCGACGCCCAGCUCCCGCAGGCGGGCCAGCAGCCGCCCGUAGUGCGCCAGCCCGGCGGGGUUGGGCGGCGCCGUCCCGUUGGGCAGCAGCCGGGCCCAGGACAGCGAGAAGCGUGUUUCCGUAGUGGUACUUUAGCAAGACACAUCGCACCUGCGAUCUCUCAUGUAGCAGCAAUUGCAGAGAAUUCGUUGUCCAAGGACAUCAGACACACUCCUCCCCGGGAAUUCAUGGGCUGUCACCUCUCAGUAACAACUCUUUUCUUUCCUGGAGUAGGAGAACAAUUCAACCAUCGGGGAGAGCUGCCGGCGGCGGCGGGAGCCAGGGCACAGCCAGAAACAGCCCAGCACAUUGCAGGACCUGGUAUUCAGUGAUGUGAACUCUUAACACGAUUUGGGACACCUACGAAUAAAAAACGUCUACUUGACA